RNAcentral lists this small nucleolar RNA (133 nucleotides) under Propithecus coquereli (Coquerel's sifaka). RNAcentral describes it as "Small nucleolar RNA SNORA61 (ENSPCOG00000001668.1)". It matches the Rfam family "Small nucleolar RNA SNORA61". From Rfam's summary of the family: ACA61 is a member of the H/ACA class of snoRNA that guide the sites of modification of uridines to pseudouridines. The record is from Rfam by way of RNAcentral. Lineage: Eukaryota; Metazoa; Chordata; Mammalia; Primates; Indriidae.
GCCCUCCUGUUCCCUUUCCCAUCGGAUCUGAACACUGGUCUUGGUGGUCGUAAAAGGAGGAAAAGUAAUACUGAAGCUGGCCCCCCCAGUGUUGUAGUUUGGUAUAUAGCAUGUGGGCUAGUUUCAAACAAGG